Molecule: ribosomal RNA, 761 nt
Filed under: Halomonas sp. D22D
Lineage: Bacteria; Pseudomonadati; Pseudomonadota; Gammaproteobacteria; Oceanospirillales; Halomonadaceae
Description: bacterial SSU rRNA
Rfam family: Bacterial small subunit ribosomal RNA
Source: RNAcentral
GAUCCAGCCAUGCCGCGUGUGUGAAGAAGGCCUUCGGGUUGUAAAGCACUUUCAGUGAGGAAGAAAGCCUUGAGGUUAAUACCCUCGAGGGAGGACAUCACUCACAGAAGAAGCACCGGCUAACUCCGUGCCAGCAGCCGCGGUAAUACGGAGGGUGCGAGCGUUAAUCGGAAUUACUGGGCGUAAAGCGCGCGUAGGCGGCUUGAUAAGCCGGUUGUGAAAGCCCCGGGCUCAACCUGGGAACGGCAUCCGGAACUGUCAGGCUAGAGUGCAGGAGAGGAAGGUAGAAUUCCCGGUGUAGCGGUGAAAUGCGUAGAGAUCGGGAGGAAUACCAGUGGCGAAGGCGGCCUUCUGGACUGACACUGACGCUGAGGUGCGAAAGCGUGGGUAGCAAACAGGAUUAGAUACCCUGGUAGUCCACGCCGUAAACGAUGUCGACUAGCCGUUGGGCUCCUUGAGAGCUUUGUGGCGCAGUUAACGCGAUAAGUCGACCGCCUGGGGAGUACGGCCGCAAGGUUAAAACUCAAAUGAAUUGACGGGGGCCCGCACAAGCGGUGGAGCAUGUGGUUUAAUUCGAUGCAACGCGAAGAACCUUACCUACCCUUGACAUCGAGAGAACUUUCCAGAGAUGGAUUGGUGCCUUCGGGAGCUCUCAGACAGGUGCUGCAUGGCUGUCGUCAGCUCGUGUUGUGAAAUGUUGGGUUAAGUCCCGUAACGAGCGCAACCCUUGUCCCUAUUUGCCAGCGAUUCGGUCGGGAACU